GUUUUGCAUCAGGAGAGGCCCGACCCUAACCGGCCGGGCCCGGCAACCUGGGACGGACACCCGAGGUGCUCACUCGCCAGCGGCGAGGAUGUGGUCGCGAAAGCGCAAGCGGCAACCAAGUGUCCACGG
RNAcentral lists this non-coding RNA (129 nucleotides) under Candidatus Aminicenantota. Its description in RNAcentral is "Candidatus Aminicenantes SAM-I-IV sequence". It matches the Rfam family "SAM-I/IV (S-adenosyl methionine) riboswitch aptamer". Rfam says of the family: It is found upstream of a number of genes which code for proteins involved in methionine or cysteine biosynthesis. It has been found mostly in the order Actinomycetales. The record is from RNAcentral.